RNAcentral lists this ribosomal RNA (255 nucleotides) under uncultured bacterium. RNAcentral describes it as "partial 16S ribosomal RNA". It matches the Rfam family "Bacterial small subunit ribosomal RNA", at positions 524 to 776 of the family's 1533-position model. The record is from RNAcentral.
UACGUAGGUGGCAAGCGUUUGUCCGGAUUUAUUGGGUUUAAAGGGUGCGUAGGCGGCUUUGUAAGUCAGUGGUGAAAUACUCCAGCUUAACUGGAGGGGUGCCAUUGAUACUGCGGAGCUUGAGUACAGAUGAGGUAGGCGGAAUUGACGGUGUAGCGGUGAAAUGCAUAGAUAUCGUCAAGAACACCGAUAGCGAAGGCAGCUUACUGGGCUGUAACUGACGCUGAUGCACGAAAAGUGUGGGGAUCAAACAGG